GGAGGGGGUUAGCGUUGUUCGGAAUGACUGGGCGUAAAGCGCGCGUAGGCGGACCAUCAGGUCGGGGGGGAAAUCCCGGGGCUCAACCCCGGAAUGGCCUUCGAGACUGGUGGUCUUGAGUUCGAGAGAGGUGAGUGGAAUUCCGAGUGUAGAGGUGAAAUGCGCAGAUAUCAGGAGGAACACCAAUGGCGAAGGCAGCUCGCUGGGACGGUACUGACGCUGAGGCGCGAAAGCGUGGGGAGCAAACAGG
RNAcentral lists this ribosomal RNA (250 nucleotides) under uncultured bacterium. Its description in RNAcentral is "partial 16S ribosomal RNA". It matches the Rfam family "Bacterial small subunit ribosomal RNA", at positions 527 to 776 of the family's 1533-position model. The record is from RNAcentral.